GAUGAACGCUGGCGGCGUGCCUAAUACAUGCAAGUCGAGCGAACAGACGAGGAGCUUGCUCCUCUGACGUUAGCGGCGGACGGGUGAGUAACACGUGGAUAACCUACCUAUAAGACUGGGAUAACUUCGGGAAACCGGAGCUAAUACCGGAUAAUAUAUUGAACCGCAUGGUUCAAUAGUGAAAGACGGUUUUGCUGUCACUUAUAGAUGGAUCCGCGCCGCAUUAGCUAGUUGGUAAGGUAACGGCUUACCAAGGCAACGAUGCGUAGCCGACCUGAGAGGGUGAUCAGCCACACUGGAACUGAGACACGGUCCAGACUCCUACGGGAGGCAGCAGUAGGGAAUCUUCCGCAAUGGGCGAAAGCCUGACGCAGCAACGCCGCGUGAGUGAUGAAGGUCUUCGGAUCGUAAAACUCUGUUAUUAGGGAAGAACAAAUGUGUAAGUAACUAUGCACGUCUUGACGGUACCUAAUCAGAAAGCCACGGCUAACUACGUG
RNAcentral lists this ribosomal RNA (497 nucleotides) under uncultured bacterium. RNAcentral describes it as "partial 16S ribosomal RNA". It matches the Rfam family "Bacterial small subunit ribosomal RNA", at positions 28 to 507 of the family's 1533-position model. The record is from RNAcentral.